GCUGGAGAUGGGCUAAGGCUAAUACCUACCUCUAUAAGUCUAAAACUCUGUCUGUCAGUCUCAAAAUGCAUCCCUCAACCUCCUCAAGUCGUACGGACUGAGCUAUAAGCAUCUGAAAGAUGGUAGAGACAUGAGAGAUUAAAGUCUGGUCUGAGUCAGCCUGAGAUGUCGACCUCUGAGUAAAGAUUGAGGUGGCAAACUGCUGGGAUAAAAUGGAAGCAACCUGCUGGG
This 231-nucleotide long non-coding RNA is filed under the name Elaeis guineensis (African oil palm). Its description in RNAcentral is "long non-coding RNA (EGUI_LNC004979)". Lineage: Eukaryota; Viridiplantae; Streptophyta; Magnoliopsida; Arecales; Arecaceae. The record is from RNAcentral.